This 529-nucleotide long non-coding RNA is filed under the name Fukomys damarensis (Damara mole-rat). RNAcentral describes it as "lncRNA (ENSFDAG00000028552.1)". The record is from RNAcentral. Lineage: Eukaryota; Metazoa; Chordata; Mammalia; Rodentia; Bathyergidae.
CACAGUGAAUUGAAAGUUGAGCCGUGCGCUGAGCCAUGCUGGUAAUUUAAUACCAUCCUUGGAAUAUCUCCUCUCAACCUUGAACAGGAAGCAAGUAUUUGCGAAAAGUGGCCUAAGAUCUUCUUCAUAUCAGUUUGGUUUCUUCAUGGAGAGACAAAGAAGGUCUUCAAGUUCUACCGAAGAGGAAAAGAAGCAGGAAACAUGUGGCUCUUAGAGACAUUUAUAUUUGCAGAAAGUUUUCUAUGGUGUGAGCUGAUCUGUCUGGUUGGAAAUAUAACAUUGUACUCUAAAAUCACCACAGGAUUAUUAACUAAGAACCAGAGUUAAAUUUGAGUUUAGCUCCUAUUAAUUUUAUAUGUGUUGGAAGAUGUAACAGGGAUUUAUCUAUGUGAUUUAGCUAGAUCAUCUGCCAGUCUGAUAUACUUCUGGGUUCGCCAGUUGACAAAUCUUGGCAUAAUAUGGUGAUAAAAUAUAAGUCAUCCAGGCAGCAACUAUAAACAAAAAUAAAUGCCACUAUCAGUAUGCUCGC